This 496-nucleotide ribosomal RNA is filed under the name uncultured bacterium. RNAcentral's name for it is "partial 16S ribosomal RNA". It matches the Rfam family "Bacterial small subunit ribosomal RNA", at positions 28 to 507 of the family's 1533-position model. The record is from RNAcentral.
GAUGAACGCUGGCGGCGUGCCUAAUACAUGCAAGUCGAGCGAACAGAUGAGGAGCUUGCUCCUCUGACGUUAGCGGCGGACGGGUGAGUAACACGUGGAUAACCUACCUAUAAGACUGGGAUAACUUCGGGAAACCGGAGCUAAUACCGGAUAAUAUAUUGAACCGCAUGGUUCAAUAGUGAAAGACGGUUUUGCUGUCACUUAUAGAUGGAUCCGCGCCGCAUUAGCUAGUUGGUAAGGUAACGGCUUACCAAGGCAACGAUGCGUAGCCGACCUGAGAGGGUGAUCGGCCACACUGGAACUGAGACACGGUCCAGACUCCUACGGGAGGCAGCAGUAGGGAAUCUUCCGCAAUGGGCGAAAGCCUGACGGAGCAACGCCGCGGGAGUGAUGAAGGUCUUCGGAUCGUAAAACUCUGUUAUAGGGAAGAACAAAUGUGUAAGUAACUAUGCACGUCUUGACGGUACCUAAUCAGAAAGCCACGGCUAACUACGUG